CACACUCCUUGGUAUUUACGCCAAGGAAUUGAAACUAUGUCCACACAAAAACCUGCACACAGAUGUCUCUAGUAACAUUAUUCAUAGUUGUCGAGACUUGGAAGCAACCAAGAUGUCCAAUAGGUGAACGGAUAAAUAAACUGGUGCAUCCAAACUGCAUGAGCUGUCCAGCCAUAGAAAGGACAUGGAGAAAGCUUACCUUACAUGCACAUUACCAUAUGUAGGAAGCCAAUCUGAAAGGAGCGUGCAGGAAACAUGCUGAGACAAAGUAACGCCUGUAACGAUAAAAGAGGAAGCAAGACUGGGCAGGAUAAUGGUGCUGGCUCGGGCUCUGCAGGCAGAAAGGGCAAAUCCAUAUGGAAAACGUUAUCUCUUGUGAGAAUAAACCACUGGCCCUUUCAGGAUGAAAAGGGCUCCAAUGGAAUCAACUUGCCACCAAGUACCUGAUGGGUUUCUUCAAGGGAUCGUGCCACAUUGGGGCUCAGCCUUUGUCUGUUGCCAGCAGGAUGGAUGUGCAGAAGUGGCAGUGGCUAGAUUGGCCUUGGCUGCACGUGAAUUAGCAACGCCACCAGUGUGCUACGUGCUCCUGCUAAUUCUGCCUGAUCAGCAGGACGCCAUCAGUUUAAUAGAUGCAUGUGACAUUCCACAGGACGGUCAGAAGGUCCAAGUCUCUUCAGAGAGCGGAACCAGUAACAGAGCCCCGAGGCAAAACUCUAAAUGCACCUGGUUUCUGAUAUUCUUUUUUGAUUGAGAUAGAAAAAAACAUAUUCACCGGAUCAAUGGCUGGAUACCAUGUUCCAGGGACCGUAGAAUCUGUUCUAGCAAAAGAGAUGCCACAUGGGCCCAGCAGCUGCUGUGGGAGCCACUACUUGACUGAGCUGUCAGUUGUCCACAGCCAUUUUUUCCAGAAUCCACCCAGACUGGUGAAUUCAAUGGAGAAUUGAUGGGGACCCAGCCCGGUUUCCUGAAAUCCUUCAGGGUGACACUCACCUUCACGGUCUCCUCCAAGUUGCGAUUUUGUUUUUGAUCUGCUGUCUCUGCGAGAGAAGGAGUUCGAGCUGUUUGGAAAAACCUGGGACCCUGACACUUGGGAAGGGAAUAUCUGGGUGGAUACCCAUAAAGAUUUCGACUCUUCUUUUAACUAUUAA
Long non-coding RNA from Herpailurus yagouaroundi (jaguarundi), 1148 nucleotides. RefSeq lists it as uncharacterized. The transcript has 2 exons. The record is from RefSeq and is a predicted model, not a curated record. Lineage: Eukaryota; Metazoa; Chordata; Mammalia; Carnivora; Felidae.